AAAUCCAUCUCUAGAGAAAUUUUUUAUUUUAGAGAAAAAUAGGAAAAUACAUGGGAGAUGGUCUAAGAGACGUGAUAUAAUCAGCUGCCAUGAAAUCAUAUGUCCAAUUAGUUUAAAAAAAAAAUCACAUGUCGAAUUACGUGAGACGUACAAUAACUUACAAUUAAAAAAAAAAAACUUUUGCCACAUUUUUCAAGUUUUAAAUUUUGAUUAUGUGCUAUGUGGUUGUGAGGUGUUCCAUCUGUGAUCAGAUAGGUGGAGAAGGUGAAACAUACAUAAUGCUCGACGGCUCGAAUGAA
RNAcentral lists this long non-coding RNA (299 nucleotides) under Brassica rapa (field mustard). RNAcentral's name for it is "long non-coding RNA (BRAP_LNC000582)". The record is from RNAcentral. Lineage: Eukaryota; Viridiplantae; Streptophyta; Magnoliopsida; Brassicales; Brassicaceae.